GACGGAGGGUGCAAGCGUUAUCCGGAAUUAUUGGGCGUAAAGCGUCCGCAGGCGGCCUUUCAAGUCUGCUGUCAAAGUCCGGGGCUUAACUUCGGAAAGGCAGUGGAAACUGAACAGCUAGAGUAUGGUAGGGGCAGAGGGAAUUCCUGGUGUAGCGGUGAAAUGCGUAGAGAUCAGGAAGAACAUCGGUGGCGAAGGCGCUCUGCUGGACCAUAACUGACACUCAGGGACGAAAGCUAGGGGAGCGAAUGGG
RNAcentral lists this ribosomal RNA (253 nucleotides) under uncultured bacterium. Its description in RNAcentral is "partial 16S ribosomal RNA". It matches the Rfam family "Bacterial small subunit ribosomal RNA", at positions 524 to 776 of the family's 1533-position model. The record is from RNAcentral.